CCUGGUGGCUAGAGCGAGGUGGAACCACCCGUUCCCAUCCCGAACACGGAAGUGAAACGCCUCAGCGCUGACGAUACUGCCCGGGCAACCGGGUGUGGAAAAUAGGCCGCUGCCAGGG
Molecule: non-coding RNA, 118 nt
Organism: Chloroflexi bacterium RBG_16_64_32
Lineage: Bacteria; Bacillati; Chloroflexota
Source: Rfam